GACAGAGGGUGCAAACGUUGUUCGGAAUUACUGGGCGUAAAGCGCGUGUAGGCGGUCGCGUAAGUCGGAUGUGAAAGCCCUCGGCUCAACCGGGGAAGUGCACCCGAAACUGUGCGACUGGAGUCCCGGAGAGGAUAGUGGAAUUCUCGGUGUAGAGGUGAAAUUCGUAGAUAUCGAGAGGAAUACCUGUGGCGAAGGCGGCCAACUGGACGAGUACUGACGCUGAGACACGAAAGCGUGGGGAGCAAACAGG
This 253-nucleotide ribosomal RNA is filed under the name uncultured Phaselicystis sp. RNAcentral describes it as "partial 16S ribosomal RNA". It matches the Rfam family "Bacterial small subunit ribosomal RNA", at positions 524 to 776 of the family's 1533-position model. The record is from RNAcentral. Lineage: Bacteria; Pseudomonadati; Myxococcota; Polyangiales; Phaselicystidaceae.